RNAcentral lists this long non-coding RNA (876 nucleotides) under Trifolium pratense (red clover). RNAcentral's name for it is "long non-coding RNA (TPRA_LNC005427)". The record is from RNAcentral. Lineage: Eukaryota; Viridiplantae; Streptophyta; Magnoliopsida; Fabales; Fabaceae.
UAGUCGCACACCAACCAAAGACUAAACUAAGGCUGCUAUUGAGGAAGAAGGAGAGGCUAACGAGAUAGGGGCGACAAAGCGAGGGGAUUGAGCUUUUCUCCUAGCGCAAGAGUUUUCGUCGCUGGAUUAAUUUAAGAAACUAAAGAGGAUAUUUAAAUAAGAUUCUUUUGUUUCUCUUGCUUCAUUUUUUUUGUUCUAAUUUGAUAGCAAACUCCCUUUACCACAUUUUGCUGCUAAUAGAGGAGGCUAAUCCCAUGAAACAACUUUGAACCAGGCAUAGCAAACAAGAGAGUAGAAUAAAAACAUAACGCAAACCUUGAAUAUGUUUGCAACAUAGUUAACAAGUAGCACAGGCAGAUGAAUCUGAUUCAUUCCUGCAUUCAAGUAAUCACAUUAAAAAGAGUCAAGAGAGACCAUAACAAUAUAUAUAACAUAAACUUGCUUAUCAUUUUUAUAGCAAUUGUUUGUUGUUUACGGCGUAAUUAACCAGUAGCACAUGGAUGAUAAUUUGAACUUUGAUUAUCAUUUUUAUGCUACACUAAUGAGAAUUUGAACUUCGAUUAUCAUGUUCUUAAAACUAAUAUACAAUCAAAAUUAUUUAAUAAUAAGAAUAUUCUGCAGUGUAUCAAAUUUGUAUUGAAUGAGAAUAUCUUGUUCAUUGUGUUCUACGGGUUAUGAUACGAGACACAAAUCGUUUUGGGGCUGAUUGUGGCUGGUUGGACUUGUGAAAAACAAACUUAUUUUCUGGAGUCAGGUGAAAAACACCGUGUAUUUGGUUGAUUAGCUUUGAUAACGUUGGUUCAUUGCUUGUAAGAUAGUUUUUUGACAUGUGUUUUCCUUAUCAACAUGCAAAUCAUUUUGGGCAGAUUGUAGUCG